AAUAAAAUUAUUUAUGGUUUAAAAAUUUAUUAUAAAUUUAUUUUACAUAUAAAUUUUAGUGUUAAUUUUUAAUUUAUUUAAAUAAUAAUUAAUAUUUAUUUGUAGUAAUUAGAAUUAAAAAUUUAAGUAAUUAAGAUUUAGUAAUAUUUAAAUUAAUAACAAAUUUUGUGCCAGCAGUUGCGGUUAUACAAAAAUUAAAUUAAAUUUUUUUAGGAAUUAAUUAAUAAUAGAUUAUAUAAUAAAAUUAAAAUUUAAAUUAUUAAGUGAAAUUUUAAUUUAUGAAAAUUUUAUAUUGAAUUAUGAAUUAAAAAAUUUUAUUAAAAACUAGGAUUAGAUACCCUAUUAUUAAAAAUUUAAAUUAAUAAUACUAAAAUAGUAUAUAAUUAUUUAUAAAAACUUAAAUAAUUUGGCGGUAUUUUAGUUUAUUUAGAGGAAUCUGUUUAUUAAUUGAUAUUCCACGAAUAAAUUUACUUAAUUUAUUUAAUUUUGUAUAUCGUUGUUAAAAAAAUAUUUUAAAAUAAUAAUAAUAUUUUAAUUUUUAUAUUAAAAGUUAAAUCAGAUCAAGAUGCAGAUUAUAAUUAAGAAUAUAAUGGAUUACAAUAAAUUUAUUUAAUUGGAUGUUAUUUUUAAAAAUUAAUUGAAAUUGGAUUUAAAUGUAAUUUUAUUUAAUUUAUUAAAAUGAUUUUAAUUUAAAAUAUGUACAUAUUGCCCGUCGCUUUCAUUAAUAAAUUGAAAUAAGUCGUAACAAAGUAGAGGUACUGGAAAGUGUUUCUAGAAAGAG
RNAcentral lists this non-coding RNA (781 nucleotides) under Bombyx mori (domestic silkworm). The record is from RNAcentral. Lineage: Eukaryota; Metazoa; Arthropoda; Insecta; Lepidoptera; Bombycidae.